GAAUUCAGGUAAUCGCUGCAAUGUUAGACAUUGUAGAGGAAAGUCCAUGCUCGCACGCAUCUGAGAUGAGCGUAGUGUUCGUGCUUAGCCAAAAAAUAAGCUAAGGCAACGUGAGUUGACGGCGGGAAGAUUCCUAAGUCCUUCGUGAUAUGGAUCCCUUCUCUGAAAGUGCCACAGUGACGAAGCUAGUUUGGAAACUUACUAGGUGGAACGAGGUAAACCCCACGAGCGAGAAACCCAAAUUAUGGUAGGGGCACUCUUAUGAAAGAAAUGAAUGGAUUAAGAGACAGUUUUCUGUAGAUAGAUGAUUACCGCCCAUUCGUACGAGGUGCAAACUGUUUGAGUACGUGGGAACAAAACAUGGCUUACGAA
Molecule: RNase P RNA, 372 nt
Filed under: Paenisporosarcina cavernae
Lineage: Bacteria; Bacillati; Bacillota; Bacilli; Caryophanales; Caryophanaceae
Description: Bacterial RNase P class B
Rfam family: Bacterial RNase P class B
About the family: Ribonuclease P (RNase P) is a ubiquitous endoribonuclease, found in archaea, bacteria and eukarya as well as chloroplasts and mitochondria. Its best characterised activity is the generation of mature 5'-ends of tRNAs by cleaving the 5'-leader elements of precursor-tRNAs.
Source: Rfam by way of RNAcentral